RNAcentral lists this long non-coding RNA (624 nucleotides) under Chinchilla lanigera (long-tailed chinchilla). RNAcentral's name for it is "lncRNA (ENSCLAG00000026644.1)". Lineage: Eukaryota; Metazoa; Chordata; Mammalia; Rodentia; Chinchillidae. The record is from RNAcentral.
GCCGGGCACCAGCAGGAGACGAGUGUCCACAGGCCGCAUGAUCUCCGACUAGAUGUUCCAGGACAGAGAGGGGAUUCCAGGCCAACAAACAGGCCUUUCACCCUGGGCUCAGCCUUCUGGCUAGUAGGAAGCUCGGUGAUCAGGGACAGGCUGAAAGGAAGUAAAAAUCUAUUCUCUCUCUUGUUCUCCAGGCCUUUCACUCGAAGUGUGCACCUGACAGCCACCCCAGUCCUUAGGGUGGAGGUCUGCAGGCCCUGGCUCCUAUAUUCACUGCCUCUCUGACAGAGACCCUCUAAAUGGAAGGAGUAUGUUCUGGCCCCAGUGACAGCAGUUGGCCAUGCUUUGGCAAGUAUGAGUGUACAUUAACCGCAGCAGGUCCGUGGCCUGUGCCAUUUCUGGGCCGAAACUUAAAGAAUCAACAGGCAGUCUCAUGAUUGUACUUCUCCAAUGCUGUGCUGGUAAAUAUUUAAUAAACAACUCUUCCAAAGCAAAAAGUAUUUGUCAAGUUUGAUGGUAUGAAUGCUUCCCACCAUAACUGAUUUCAGACUGUGUGACACUUUCAAGCAUGGCAUUGGAAAGCGACAUAUACUAUAAACGUUCUCAAAUGUAAGCUGGCUGCAGCAC